RNAcentral lists this ribosomal RNA (292 nucleotides) under uncultured bacterium. Its description in RNAcentral is "partial 16S ribosomal RNA". It matches the Rfam family "Bacterial small subunit ribosomal RNA", at positions 505 to 796 of the family's 1533-position model. The record is from RNAcentral.
GUGCCAGCAGCCGCGGUAAUACGUAGGGUGCGAGCGUUGUCCGGAAUUAUUGGGCGUAAAGGGCUCGUAGGCGGUUUGUCGCGUCGGGAGUGAAAACCAGGUGCUUAACACCUGGCUUGCUUUCGAUACGGGCAGACUAGAGGUAUUCAGGGGAGAACGGAAUUCCUGGUGUAGCGGUGAAAUGCGCAGAUAUCAGGAGGAACACCGGUGGCGAAGGCGGUUCUCUGGGAAUGACCUGACGCUGAGGAGCGAAAGUGUGGGGAGCGAACAGGAUUAGAAACCCUCGUAGUCC